CCUACGGGAGGCAGCAGUGGGGGAUAUUGGACAAUGGGGGGAACCCUGAUCCAGCGACGCCGCGUGAGUGAAGAAGUAUCUCGGUAUGUAAAGCUCUAUCAGCAGGGAAGAAGAUAUGACGGUACCUGAGUAAGAAGCCUCGGCUAACUAAGUGCCAGCAGCCGCGCUAAUUCGUAGGGGGCAAGCGUUAACCGGAAUUACUGGGUGUAAAGGGAGCGUAGGCGGUGAUGUAAGUCUGGCGUGAAAUGCGUGGGCCCAACCCCCGGACUGCUCUGGAAACUAGGUGACUGGAGUGAGAUAGAGGUAAGCGGAAUGCCUGGUGUAGCGGUGAAAUGCGUAGAUAUAAGGAAGAACACCAGUGGCGAAGGCAGCUCACUGGACUGAAACUGACGUUGAGGGUCGAAAGCGUGGGGAGCAAACAGGAUUAGAUACCCUAGUAGUC
This 442-nucleotide ribosomal RNA is filed under the name uncultured bacterium. RNAcentral's name for it is "partial 16S ribosomal RNA". It matches the Rfam family "Bacterial small subunit ribosomal RNA", at positions 338 to 795 of the family's 1533-position model. The record is from RNAcentral.